Molecule: long non-coding RNA, 1345 nt
Organism: Pongo pygmaeus (Bornean orangutan)
Lineage: Eukaryota; Metazoa; Chordata; Mammalia; Primates; Hominidae
Exons: 2
Source: RefSeq, a predicted model, not a curated record
UAAGUCCCCAGGCCUAAAAGGAAGCACUGGACCAGAUAGAUUCACCGACAUGAGGCACCUGUGCAGCCUUGUGGGCAGCAGCAGCCAAGCAGCCAAUCCUGGCCGGGUCCUGGCCUUGCCCCACACGUUCCAUUCAAAGUUUUGGCAGUGGGGACUGACAUCUGCACAACCAAGAUCACUUCCCUGUGGCUUUCGCAAAGCUAGUGUGGCUGCCUUGAGGCUAAAAGGAGGAAAAUAAAGAACCCACCCACAUUAAUUGCAAGAAGACUUCAGCCAAUGCCACAAUGAGGAUGACUCACAUUGUCAUACACAAGCUCUUAGGACCUUACAUAGAGAAAAUGUUUCGUCUCAAUUUCCAGUGUUAAAUGCAAAAGAGCAGGAAGACUCUUGAUCUGUGGCUUGAACCCCCAGUCCCCCAGUUCACUCUUGACAUUACAUGACGUGCUAGAAAGUGCAUCAGUUGGACAGAACCGAGUUUGAACCCUGGCUUUGUUAGAAACCAGCUAUGAACCAGUUACUUAAACUCCCUUAUCUUCAGUUUUCUCAUCAGGAAAAAAACGGAGUUCUUUUGAAAUCAAAUGAAAUGAUGUGCAUGAAAGUGCAGAACAUACGGAAAGUGCUUAAUGAGAUAUUAGUUUCCCUUCUCGUAUGUCAACCACAGGUAGAAUCUCCUUAACUGUGCUGGAAGCUCUAUAAAGGCAGGGACUGUGCCUAUGGUAUGUGCCAUUAUAUCACCAACGCUUAGUAUAAUGGCUGGCCCGUAGUCAGUAUUCAAUAAAUAUUGGUUAAAUACUUAAUGGUUGUAAUGGUUAAUAUUGAGUGUCAACUUGACUGCAUUGAAGGAUGCAAAGUAUUGUUCCUGGAUGUGUCUGUGAGGGUGUAGCCAAAGGAGAUUAACAUUUGAGUCAGUGGAUUGGGAAAGGCAGACCCACCCUCAGUCUGAGAGGGCACCAUCUAAUCAGCAGCCAUGGAGGCCAGAAUAAAAGCAGGCAGAAGAACGUGGAAAGAUUAGACUGACUAAGUCUUCUGGACUCCAUCUUUCUCCAUGCUGGAUGCUUCCUGCCUUGGAACAUCGGAUUCCAAUAUUCUUCAGCUUUGGGACUCGGACUGGCUUCCUUACUCCUCAGCUUGCAGAUGGCCUAUUGUAGGACCCCACCUUGUGAUCAUGUGAGUCAAUACUCCUUAAUAAACUCCCCUUUAUAAAGACUCGGCCUAGAGUUACUUCUGCAUAGUUUUCAAAAUCCCUUCUUCAAGACAGUCAAUGUUUUUUAUGAUUCUUUGAUAUCCAUAGCCCUUCUACAAAGCGUGCUAUGCCUUCUUUAAUAAAGUGGAAUUCUAUGCCCUG